ACGAGAGGAUUGAUUAAGCCCAGUUCAAGGCCAGCUUGAGCAGCAUAGUGAGACCUCCUGGAGCAAAAAAGAAAAAAAAAUAGGGUUGGCAUUUGUUGUUUUUAGCACCCUGGUGCCCAAGAAAAAUCUGGACACUGGGACAGAGGCAGGUCAUCAAGAACAGAAUGGAGGCUUGGAUGACUUUUCCCAGGGCAUAGUGACAGAGCCUUGGGACUGAGGGUGCUUCCCCAGGCUGCACCCCUUGACUGGGCUUGUGGCAUUGGAGAGACAGAGAGGAGUGUGUGGGUGGGGAGGGGGUACACAAGUCUUUCUCUCUUAGCCUAAGAGCUGGCCUGGGAAUACCUUCCUCUGGCACAGACCCAACAUCAAUGAUCCCAGAAGUGAUCUGUCUGCUAAGCUGACUAUCACCGGGGUGAUGUGAAAAUGAAGGAUGAUGUACCUGGCAAAGCCCUUGAUUUGAAUCCCUUGCUGGGACCAGACCAAAAAAGGUGUUCAUCAUUUUACAAAGCAGGGAAUGGUGGCACAGACAGGUGAAGUAAUUUGCCUGAGUCAUUAAGAGGUUGGUUUUCUCCAAGAAGUCAUCUUUCAAGAUUUUGUCUACGGCCAUACCACCCUGAACGCGCCCAAUCUCGUCUCAUCUUUCAAGAUUUUGAAAUAAUAGCCUGGAUGACCACUGCUGUUUUGGAGGCCAAUUAAUUAUAUUCUCUUAUUGGAGGAGCCCUGUGUUCUCCCCUCAGAGCAUGAUCCCCACUGUCCCUGGUCUCUCUGCUGUCCAGGUACUGUCCUCUCUGCUCUUUCUUGCCACUCUGGCACUGCAUGGUCUCAGUCCCUCUCCAUUCUCCAGGCUCUCCUCUUGCCUCUCUGUUAGCUGUUCUUCCUCUGCCCACUUGCUCUAAGGGCAGGUGUUCCCCAAGGCUUCUCCCUGACACUCUUUCUCCUUCUACCCCCUCUCUCUGGGACAUUCUCUCAUACUUGUUAUGACCAGCUCAGACCUCUCCAGGAGACAACCACCUAGGCCCUGAUGAUUGUUGCUAGUUAGUCCCUCCCUGAGAAUGUAGCUUCUGCUCUCAGACAUUCACUAGCUCCCCAAGGUCAACAAAAGGGGAACAAACUUCUCCCCAAGGUAUUCAGGGCUCUGGUAUACCUGCCUUCAUUUUCCUCCCAAUUCAGAAUCUUCCUCUAUCUGAGCCCUGUGCUCUUUGCCUUUAUUCUGCUGUCCCUUCAAUAUGGCUUCCCUCCCUGCGACCUUUGCUCAAGGUACUUCUACCUUACUGGUCUAUAACGUACAUGCUCCUCCUCCAAGAAGUCCUUCCUGACACCCUUCCCUACCUAGUGUGCCUUCUCUUUCUUUGGGGGACUCCAUGGAAAACCAUGCCAGCAUUCCUUGGGUGACACCUACUUCUGUGCUUGCUUUGAUUCUAUCACCCUGAGUCAGAAAGGAAGCCUAGCACUGGGAGUCAGGCAACAAGGCUCAUUCUAUGCUGUUUAGUGUUACCUAUUCAUCUAAGAGUUCCCCAGUGUAAAAAUGAAGUGAUAGGACCGCAUCAGCAUUUCUCAAAUUUCAUUUGAGUACCACCAUGCUUGCUUUUAUUCUUGAACCACAAGUAUCAUAUGCUUAUUUAUCUUUUUAAAAUCUAAAUUAAAAGUAUACUUUAUAUUGUUUACUGUGACUGCAAAACAAAGGUCAUAUGUAAUAAAGGUUACAGUAAAAAAAAACUAAGGUAACCACGAAAAUAAACACAUAACGGAUAAAUUUUUGUAUAAUGUCUCAAAUCCUAUGUAGAAUUCUGGGAAACAAUCUAGAUCACCAAAGUCUUUGUCAGAGAUAAACAAAAGUGGACACUAGUCGAAAUGGUAAGGACCAAUUUUCAUCAGUAAUUAGGGAAGAGAGUUCAGCUUGAACUGAGCUCAACUUCUAUUUGCACAAAAGCCACUGGGUCUUUUACAGGGAGGAUGAGAGAGCUGGGAGAGAGACAAGCAGGGGUUCAGCAGAGUCAGGAAAACGAAAAAUUACAAGCCUAGGUUAGUGUAAUUAAU
Marmota monax (woodchuck) is the source of this 2037-nucleotide long non-coding RNA. RefSeq lists it as uncharacterized. The transcript has 3 exons. The record is from RefSeq and is a predicted model, not a curated record. Lineage: Eukaryota; Metazoa; Chordata; Mammalia; Rodentia; Sciuridae.